This 349-nucleotide ribosomal RNA is filed under the name uncultured Coriobacteriales bacterium. RNAcentral describes it as "bacterial SSU rRNA". It matches the Rfam family "Bacterial small subunit ribosomal RNA", at positions 8 to 339 of the family's 1533-position model. The record is from RNAcentral. Lineage: Bacteria; Bacillati; Actinomycetota; Coriobacteriia; Coriobacteriales.
AGAGUUUGAUCAUGGCUCGAGGACGAACGCUGGCGGCGUGCUUAACACAUGCAAGUCGAACGAGGAUCAAUUUGGAAAGCUUCGGCCGGAAGGAUUGAUUCGAGUGGCGGACGGGUGAGUAACGCGUGAGCAACCUGUCCCAGACAGGGGGAUAACACUUGGAAACAGGUGCUAAUACCGCAUAAGACCACGGCAUCACAUGGUGCAGAGGUAAAAGGUGCAAACCGGUUUGGGGUGGGCUCGCGUCCGAUUAGAUAGUUGGUGAGGUAACGGCCCACCAAGUCGACGAUCGGUAGCCGACCUGAGAGGGUGAUCGGCCACAUUGGAACUGAGAGACGGUCCAAACUCC